Molecule: ribosomal RNA, 492 nt
Filed under: uncultured bacterium
Lineage: Bacteria
Description: partial 16S ribosomal RNA
Rfam family: Bacterial small subunit ribosomal RNA
Source: RNAcentral
AGUGAACGCUGGCGGUAGGCCUAACACAUGCAAGUCGAACGGCAGCACAGUAAGAGCUUGCUCUUACGGGUGGCGAGUGGCGGACGGGUGAGGAAUACAUCGGAAUCUACUUUUUCGUGGGGGAUAACGUAGGGAAACUUACGCUAAUACCGCAUACGACCUACGGGUGAAAGCAGGGGAUCUUCGGACCUUGCGCGAUUGAAUGAGCCGAUGUCGGAGUAGCUAGUUGGCGGGGUAAAGGCCCACCAAGGCGACGAUCCGUAGCUGGUCUGAGAGGAUGAUCAGCCACACUGGAACUGGGACGCGGUCCAGACUCCUACGGGAGGCAGCAGUGGGGAAUGUUGGACAAUGGGCGCAAGCCUGAUCCAGCCAUACCGAGUGGGUGAAGAAGGCCUUCGGGUUGUAAAGCCCUUUUGUUGGGAAAGAAAAGCAGCAGGUUAAUACCCCGCUGUUCUGACGGUACCCAAAGAAUAAGCACCGGCUAACUUCGUG